Molecule: ribosomal RNA, 430 nt
Filed under: Pseudomonadota bacterium
Lineage: Bacteria; Pseudomonadati; Pseudomonadota
Description: Proteobacteria bacterium partial 16S ribosomal RNA
Rfam family: Bacterial small subunit ribosomal RNA
Source: RNAcentral
UGGGGAAUAUUGGACAAUGGGGGGAACCCUGAUCCAGCCAUGCCGCGUGUGUGAAGAAGGCCUUAUGGUUGUAAAGCACUUUAAGCGAGGAGGAGGGUACUGGUAUUAAUACUACCAGCUACUGGACGUUACUCGCAGAAUAAGCACCGGCUAACUCUGUGCCAGCAGCCGCGGUAAUACAGAGGGUGCGAGCGUUAAUCGGAUUUACUGGGCGUAAAGCGUGCGUAGGCGGCUAAUUGAGUCGGAUGUGAAAUCCCCGAGCUUAACUUGGGAAUUGCAUUCGAUACUGGUUAGCUAGAGUGUGGGAGAGGAUGGUAGAAUUCCAGGUGUAGCGGUGAAAUGCGUAGAGAUCUGGAGGAAUACCGAUGGCGAAGGCAGCCAUCUGGCCUAACACUGACGCUGAGGUACGAAAGCAUGGGGAGCAAGCAGG